UGUGGAACUUCGGUUAUGUAUGAUGAUAUGCGUGUAUAUGACUGGAGUAAAGGAAUGUGGUAUAGGGUUUCACUACAACACUCAAAAAUAACAACAGUCACACGAAGAUAUCCAUAUAUGAACAUUAUCCGAUCGUCGCAUCCUCACAUUUAUAUAUCACGCAGUUUCACUCGACACACCACGACUACACAACACAAACACGUCUGAAUGUCUGUUACUGAAUGGUCAAUAUGUGUGUGAAGUACAGCUGUGGAACUUCGGUUAUGUAUGAUGAUAUGCGUGUAUAUGACUGGAGUAAGAGAACAAGGUGUAGGGUUUUCACAUACAACGCUUAAAAAUAACAACAGCCACACGAAGACAUUCAUAUUCGAACAUAUUCCGAUCGUCGCAUCCUCACAUUUAUAUAUCACGCAUUUUCACUCGACACACCACGACUACACAACACAAACACGUCUGAAUGUCUGUUACUGAAUGGU
Molecule: long non-coding RNA, 476 nt
Filed under: Androctonus crassicauda
Lineage: Eukaryota; Metazoa; Arthropoda; Arachnida; Scorpiones; Buthidae
Source: RNAcentral